UACAGAGGUCCCAAGCGUUGUUCGGAUUUACUGGGCGUAAAGGGUGCGUAGGUGGUUGGGUAAGUUCGAUGUGAAAUCUCCAGGCUCAACCUGGAAAAGGCAUCGAAUACUAUCCAGCUUGAGGGUUGGAGGGGGGACUGGAAUUCUCGGUGUAGCAGUGAAAUGCGUAGAUAUCGAGAGGAACACCAGUGGCGAAGGCGAGUCCCUGGACAACUCCUGACACUGAGGCACGAAAGCUAGGGGAGCAAACAGG
Molecule: ribosomal RNA, 253 nt
Filed under: uncultured bacterium
Lineage: Bacteria
Description: partial 16S ribosomal RNA
Rfam family: Bacterial small subunit ribosomal RNA
Source: RNAcentral